GUCAGCCUGCCCAGUGGACCCUGUUCAACGGCCGCGGUAUCCUAACCGUGCAAAGGUAGCGUAAUCACUUGUUUUCUAAAUAAAGACUAGUAUGAAAGGCAUCACGAGGAAUAAGCUGUCUCCUUUUUCUAAUCAGUGAAUCUAAUCUCCCCGUGAAGAAGCGGGGAUUAAGAUAUAAGACGAGAAGACCCUGUGGAGCUUAAGACUUUAUAACAUCUACCUACCUCUCCUGCUACCCUGGUUAUUCUUCUAAAUGGUAUUUUAAUUGUACGUCUUUGGUUGGGGUGACCGCGGAGAAAAACUAACCCUCCACAAUGAAAGGGCUUUCCACCCCCCUAAACAGUAAGCUACAGCUUUAUGUAUCAAAAAAUUGACAUGUUGACCCAAUAAGUUGAUCAAUGAACCAAGUUACCCCAGGGAUAACAGCACAAUCCGCUUUGAGAGCUCAUAUCGACAAGCGGGCUUAUGACCUCGAUGUUGGAUCGGGGUAUCCCAGUGGUGUAGCCGCUACUAAAGGUUUGUUUGUUCAACAAUUAAAACCCC
Molecule: ribosomal RNA, 543 nt
Filed under: Pristimantis taeniatus (banded robber frog)
Lineage: Eukaryota; Metazoa; Chordata; Amphibia; Anura; Strabomantidae
Description: partial 16S ribosomal RNA
Rfam family: Bacterial large subunit ribosomal RNA
Source: RNAcentral